CCUACGGGAGGCAGCAGUGAGGAAUAUUGGUCAAUGGGCGAGAGCCUGAACCAGCCAAGUCGCGUGAGGGAAGACGGUCCUAUGGAUUGUAAACCUCUUUUGCCGGGGAGCAAAAAGCGGUACGUGUACCGCAUCGAGAGUACCCGGAGAAUAAGCAUCGGCUAACUCCGUGCCAGCAGCCGCGGUAAUACGGAGGAUGCGAGCGUUAUCCGGCUUUAUUGGGUUUAAAGGGUGCGCAGGCGGCGAGUUAAGUCAGCGGUAAAAUUUCGGGGCUCAACCCGGACGAGCCGUUGAUACUGGCUAGCUAGAGGGUGCGAGAAGUAUGCGGAAUGCGUGGUGUAGCGGUGAAAUGCAUAGAUAUCACGCAGAACUCCGAUUGCGAAGGCAGCAUACCGGCGCCCAACUGACGCUCAGGCACGAAAGCGUGGGUAGCGAACAGGAUUAGAUACCCGAGUAGUC
Molecule: ribosomal RNA, 459 nt
Filed under: uncultured bacterium
Lineage: Bacteria
Description: partial 16S ribosomal RNA
Rfam family: Bacterial small subunit ribosomal RNA
Source: RNAcentral